ACUUUCUUGGCAACCAAACAGAAUCACAACAAGCCAAACCACAAAAAAAUUAAAACUUUCUCCAUUAUUUUUAGUCUACUCAGUUUCAUUGUAAAAAAAAACAAAAACUUUAUUUUUUUUACAACUUUCCCACACUUUCUCGGUGACCAAACACAACCACACCACCAAAUAUAACCACAAAACUUACAGAAAACACCGGGGGCAAUGGUUUCUCAGAUCUAUACUUCACUUCCUUCCUAUUGGUGUUGAAGCAAGGAUCUCCACCUCAUGAUCAGCGUGCGGGAUAGUGGGUUUUCGGGCAGAGGAGUUUUGAUGCAGAGAAGAAAAACGAGAAGGGAAGAGAAGAAAAACGGGAAGGGAAAUGGAAAUGGGGGAAUGGGUUUUCAUAUCUAUCCUACG
Molecule: long non-coding RNA, 399 nt
Filed under: Vitis vinifera (wine grape)
Lineage: Eukaryota; Viridiplantae; Streptophyta; Magnoliopsida; Vitales; Vitaceae
Description: long non-coding RNA (VVIN_LNC007512)
Source: RNAcentral